ACACGGCCGUGAAAUGCCCCAGCGCUGAUGGUACUUUGUCUUAAGGCACGGGAGAGUAAGUCGCUGCCAGGU
Molecule: ribosomal RNA, 72 nt
Filed under: Martelella mediterranea
Lineage: Bacteria; Pseudomonadati; Pseudomonadota; Alphaproteobacteria; Hyphomicrobiales; Aurantimonadaceae
Source: RNAcentral